GUACCCUCCAGCCCUGCUGGGUGUUGGGCGUUUUGUUCCGCUGCGCGCGUGAACUCGCCUCAAAUGCAUUGGCAGCCCGCCGUCCUGUGUGGGAGCGCAGCACAUUUUGCGCUCUCCACUGCUGACGGUGGCAUCCACAAGUCUACCAUUUUAC
Molecule: unclassified non-coding RNA, 154 nt
Filed under: Plenodomus biglobosus
Lineage: Eukaryota; Fungi; Ascomycota; Dothideomycetes; Pleosporales; Leptosphaeriaceae
Also listed under: 2 other names
Description: Leptosphaeria biglobosa partial internal transcribed spacer 2
Source: RNAcentral